CCCCCCCCCCCCCCUCCCGUGCCGCCGCCGCCUGUCAGCGCCGCCCUCGCGCCAGCGGGCCGCGCUCGCGCCCGCGAUUCGAGAGUAACGGGCCGCGCGGCGGCGGCAGCGGCCGUUCGCCUCGGCUCUCCGGCGGGGCGGGAGGCGCCGCGCCCGCUGCAGGCCUCGGCGGCGUGCCGGGUCGGAGAGCAGGUGCUCCGUGCUGGCGUUAGCGCGCGCUUUCGGCUGCACCGCCGCUGCUGAGCGGGCACCGGGUCGUUUCUGCUGGCUGUCCGGCGGGGUUUUGUGGUAAAACAAGACUGGAAGUAGUUAGGGGGUCGGUGAGGUUUGGUGGGUAGUGUGUCUCCCCCCCUCGCCCCCCCGCCAACCCUCCCGGUUCCCCGUGAUUGCUGGCUGUCGCCGAGAGCGGCGUUUCUCGAAACGGGGGAGAAGAGGUGUGAAAGGUCAGCAACGGAAAGGAGGCACUGGUGGUGCCAACGCUGGAUGGGCUCCCGCGGACAGAGGGGUGCCUGCAAGCUGCUUUCCAGAGAAGUGGCAGCCACAGGUGCAUCCCUCUUCUCUGCUGUGGAGCCACCUGGGGCCUCCAGGAUGAUGUGGGAGAUGGGGAGAAAUUGGUAGUUUUAGAGCAGAACGGGAGGGGACGGGAGUGUGGUGACCCGUGCCCUUCAAGGUACGCAGAGACAAAGUUUGGAGACUGCUGUGUUCAGGUUUCGCGGGAUUUUCUCCAGAUUUUGCUCAUAAUAAACUGUUCUUUCAGUAGGCUGACAAGGUGGAAGCUGUGGAGUUUUAUCGUUUUUGAAAGGUUAAUCUGUGUGAAAUUGUCCUAGAUAUAUUACCGUUGAGCUGUCAGAUUUGAGGUAUGAGUUCAGCUGUGAAAGCGGUUGAUUUAGUGUACAAAAUUGGAAAGUUUGUUUUUGCGUUUUGCCUGUUUAGGUAUACAGGUUAUUUAAACUAGAUACUUUUAACAUGGCUUUUUUUGCGGGGGGUAUAGCAGUUUUCCGUAACAAUUAAUUCUGUAACUUUGCACACUAGCAGUGUCAGUUGCAGUGGGGGGAGGAGGGAAGACUGCCAUAGUAAGGCCUUAUUUUGUUGAAAACUAAUAUGUGCUAAACCUGCACAGACAAAUGUGGCAAUAGAUACUGCAAAACAUGAAGUAAUUGUUGGUGCUUCAUGAUUUGCAAAAGUUGUUACCUGUUAGUCAUUAAUGUGGAGCAGGGAGGUUUUAUUCAGCAAGGGUUAGGGAAGUCCCUUCAGAAAGAGAGGGCUGAGCCCUGCUCUGGGAUUGAGCAUAUUUUUUUCUGAGUCAGAGAAUCAGUCCAAUCACAGUCCAGAUCUGCAUCUUAUUUGUUGUAAGUUGACAUGUAGUAACAGAAGCAGUCUCAUGGACUAAACUGGUCAAAAUAUUUUUUCUUAACAAAACUUAAACUGAACAAAACCUCAAAAAUGUUAAAGCAUAGGCUUCUCUGAGUGUAAAUUUCACAAAGAAACUUUGUUGUUGUUGUUGAAAAACUUGAUGGAAGAUAUUUGGCCAGCAAAAGUUAUAGAGAAUUUCCUUCUCCCUCCCCUGGGGGCCUGGUCCUGCUAUCAUUAAGUAUGCUCUCCAUUGUUCAUUAGAAACAGCGUAUAAUACAAUGUCAACAAUUUGAAUUGGAUCCAGAUUAUUAUUACUUUUUUUUGGUAACUGUUUAACAAUUUAGUUAUUUAAUAAAGGCAGUUCAUUCAAGGCGCUCAUCUAUCCAAGUUUAUAGGGGGAUAGCGACAACAUCCCAACUAUAGCUGAUGUAUUUCCAGUCAUCAAAUAAGCUGUGUUAUGGGGUGGGAGGGACCCUUUUCAGUUAGUGUCCUGACAGCAAAUGUGCUGAGGGCAGGGAGGAAAAGUCUUGUCUGGUAUCUUGUCUGGUUUGUAGAUCUAGGGAUGACUGCAGUCAUCUGAGACUAUUGUUAUUUUUACAGGCUCUAAAUUGAUGUAGGGCUAGAACUGCCUUAUGUGUCUGACUCUGUAGUCUCCUACUGAAGUUAAUGGAGAUCUUGACAGAGACACUUUGAGUGUGUUUGCAUCAUAUAGCUUAUGAAUAUUAAUUUAUUUAUCCAGGUUAAACAGCACGUCAAGCCUAAUCAGAUAGGUACUAACUCCCCUCAAAUUGAUAGUCUAUUUGCUGCUGCUGCAGUAUUUUGAAUAAAGAAGUUGAACAGAACUGUGUUUUCAAAACCUGCCUCAAAUAUCUGUUAUGAGCUGAACUACAACAAGAGCAUUUCUAACAGCUUUCAGAGUUCUGUUAUGAGAGUACAUGAUAAAAGUUUAAAGAAUGUAUUUAACUAGUAGACUGAAAGACUUUUAAUUUACUUGGCAUUUUUUCCCCUUAUAUUUCACUUAUCUUUCAGCUCUGCAAACUAAAUACAAGGCAAAUAGAGUAAACGGACAUUUGAAUUUAGGAUGCUUAGUAGUGGACAGUUUGUCUUAUUCUCAUGGGAGCUGGUGAAAGUGAUACAAUUUUUAAUUAAACUGUGCUGUGAAAGAGUUUAUUUCUGGCAGGUAUCUAUUUGAUUGUUGUGGUUUGUGGCUCUCUUUCUUUUCUGCUUUGCACAUAAUUAUUUCUGUGUAGUCAUUCAUGUUAGAUUCUCUUCCGCACUAUCUCUGAAGUUGGAGAAAAAAUAACAACGUAUUAAUUUUAAUCGGUAGCUUGUAAUUUAGCUUUAAAGCCCUGCAGUAUUUUAAUACAGAAAUAAUGCAAUUCCUAAUUUAAAAGUAUGCUGCCUGAUUCAAAGCCCAUUGGAAUCAGUGAAAAGACUUCUGUGUUGAGAUUAAUACAGCCUAACUUCACAUAUUCAGUGCAGACUUGCACAUCAUCUAAACUCCCUUCAUGUCACAGGGAAGGAUAAACGCUUGGGCUGGAGUUCAUCUGUUGCAUUUUUUGACAUCUGACUUAGAUGUGAAUCUAAAAUUUUAGUUUGGUCUGAUCUGAGUUUUAAAGUGUUUUUUUUAAGAUAGGUACAAUCAAGGCAGUUGAAAUUGAAAUUUAUCUUCAUCUCAUUAAGUGAUGUUAUUGUGCUUUUAGUUUUUAGACUUUUCUCCCCAGGUUUUUGAGGUACUUGCUUAUACCUCCCUUCCUAAUUUUAUGACUUUUUAAAAGGAAUGUUCAGACUGAUUCAGAUAUUGCUACAUACUUGGGAGCAUUCUUCAGGUGUGUUGCUGUUGAUGAUAGGAUCAAUCCCUAUCUUUUCAGUUUUUCUUUGGUCAAUGUGUAUUCGGAUUAAAGGCAGAAUUUUGUCUGGUAAAAUCGUAUUUUGCAUUGUCUGUGAGCAUACCACUGAUGAUUUAAAUAUUAAUGGAAUGAUGAAGGUGUUUGUUAAUCUGAGUAAAAAUUCAGUUGAACAAUGGGAGGAACUUGAGCUAGACAGACCCAAGUCCUAUGAGUGUGUCUUUGGUGGAGUUCAGUUAAAAUCUGGAGUGGAAUACUAGAUUUUUUCCUUCUUAUUGUUGUAAUCAAAACCUUAGUGGCCCUAUUGGCAUUAAUCAGAUUCAGAUUGUUAAGAUUUUCAGUGAGCCUUCAAAUUUCUCUAUAACUUUGAAAAAUAAGAGAGUAGAGUCUCUUCUGAGGAGCUACUUGCUUGCUGCUUUCUACAGCACUAUUUAUCCACUCAUACAGGACAAUUUCUGGAAUUGCCAAAGCUGUAGGUAGCUAGAGUUAGACAGAUUAGUGUAUGUCCUAGGCAAUGAGUAGGAACUUCUAUGAAGGAGUUAGGUGCUCUUUCCACAUUAGUAUUACUGUACUAAAAUGUUAGUUUACAUCAGUACUAUAAAUCCAUUUUAUUAGUACAGCUGCUAUUUCUAACACUCUCACUCCUGAUUUAUGUUGGUGAGAAGGCUUGGUGGGAAGUGUGACAGCUGCAGUAGCUCCUUGCUGUAUGAACACAUACUGUCCCUGUGACAGUCUCCAAACUUCUCAUUCAGGGAUAUCCUCCCUGUUAAAUUUUUUCACACUCUGUCUGAAUCUUACUUGUCUUUUGCACACCAGGGGAAACAUAAAGCAAGUGAAAAUGGUCCCCAGGAAAAACCCUAGCAUGAUAGCAGAGCAUAAAUGGAACAGCUCUCUGCUUUUUCUUUGGACUUGACCUCCUUGUCAUAGGGAGGUUGUUGGGAUACAUUCACAACAGAUGACUGCUCAACCCCCAGGUCUAUCUGAGCUUUCAGGUUUUUGUUGUGUAUAGGUCUGUCUGUACUAGACAUACAGGAGAACUAUGGUGUAUAAAGCACUUUUCAUGUACUCUGUUUAAGAUGGAAAAAAAAGAAGAAAUGGAUCUUUGGCCAUGUUGUAGGCUGUGCUAUUUUUCUGGUAUCACUAUGUUACUUAGGAAUGUGGAAACAUUUUUGUUUUCACACCUAAUGAGCAAAGCUGUAUCAACAGCUACUGUGUAGCUACAAGUUAUACCAGCAAAAACAACCCCCUCCCCCCCAACUCCUUUUGCUAAUCCAAUGUAUGUCCCCUAAGGAAAUGGUUCAACUGUUUGUAUAAAAUUUUCCUGUUACAAGUCUCAUCUCCAUUAGCGGAGAGAGGGGUUGUUAGAAUAACUGAACGGACAAAGUUUCUGGAGUGUCAAUUAGCCCUCUAGUUUGCCUUCUUCCCAGAUUAGCCUGUUACAUGGUCCCUGCCUGCUUUUUACUGGAAAAAUUCAAAUGUGACUAUGCAUUCUUGGCUAGAGUGACUUUUUUUUAGUGUAGCAUGGCUAUAAAGUUACAGUAAUAUAAGUAUUUGCAUAUUUUGUUUUCCUUAGGAAAAAGGAUUAAAACUGCAAUUUUACUGUGUGCAUUUUUUCAGCAUAUGCAGCUGAGGUAUUCUGUACAGAGAGAUGCAUCUAAGCCAGUAGCAUUGAUGCUAUGUUUACAUAAUUAUAUAAUAUCCUCCAAACUGAGACAUGAAGUUCAUGGGAUACUUAGUACUCAACAGUUUUUAAUAAAUACCGGGCUGGUCAGCAUUGACUCAAGCUUAGUUAGGGGAGAGUUGAAAAGUAUUUGGGGGCACAAUAUUAGGCAGUGACUUUGGUUUGGUAAUCAUAUUUUUCCAGUUUGGAAAAUGUAUUUCUUGAAUGACUGCAGCUUAAAGACUGACAUGAUGCUCAGUCAUUUGUCAGUUUAUAAUAGAAAUGCUGAUACUAGCCAUAACUGUGAUGCCUUCAACAAAAAAUGCUUCUCCUUGUUUUAGGCUUGUUUAAUACUAGGUAAGAGUCAGAAAUGAUGGUGGUUAUCAUGCUAUGUAUGUGGGGAGAGGACAUUGUUCUGUUUCUGAACUGUGACUAGGUCUAGUAAACUCUCUUAUUACCACCCCCCCCCCCCCAAAAAAAAGCACAAACAAACAAACCAAAACCACAAGAAGCUGUCAAAAGCUGUGGAGAGCCCCAAACUGUUAGAAUCUUAGUUUUCUAAGAUUCAGCCACUUGGCUUUCAUGUGUAGUACAGAGUAAACGUGUGAUGUCAAGAAAUGCCAUAGGUAGUCACUGGGAGAUCAGCAGAACUGGCUACCUCAUACAGUGUAUAGCUAUGGCAAAAUCAUUUUCUGAGGAAGCUAACAUAGAUCUUUGCAUUCUUGCUGAUUGUAAAGAAUUACAGUCUCUUAAAAAUUCUUUUCUAAGCUGUAACUAUAUGUAUUUCAAGGCACUUCUCCCUUUGGUGGUUAAGAUAGAUAAGCUUUUUCCAAGGAGACAACUGGGAGCAUGGUUUUGUUUUGUUUUCUUAAAAUUCUGUGCAUAUCAUUAUUGUAAGUGAGUACAUCAAACUCUGUUUCUUUUUGAUUGUUGUCAAGCUACUAUCAUAAACCAGUCUGUAGAGAGUGAUAAAGAGAUUCUUGCCAGAUGUCGAAUGUCAGCCACUGAAGGAAGAUAGCACAUCACAUAUUGGUAGUUCCCAACCUCUGGAUUUUCUUUGAACAUUCCUUGGGUCUAGGAAAAGUGACCAAGAAAGGUGACCCUCACUGGAUAUGACAGACCUAUUUUGGUGAUGAGUCAAACUGUAGUUCACCACAUGCCUAUGAACUGUGCAGUGAACAAGGUUGUUUUCAGUUAAACUAUGAAGGAGUGUGGUGGACAAGACUUAGAUAAGAAGGACAUGUUCUCACAGUUAAGGCAGUUUGGUGUAGCAUUUGGAACUGGAUUCUAAUGUUGUCUUUGCCAUAAAACUUCCUACUGGUCAGGUCAUGCAGUAAACUUAAAAAGGGUCCCUGUGGGUUGUCCAACGUGAAACAAUCCAAGAUUGCAGGCAGGGAGAGUAUCCCUAAGUGCUAUUGAGUUCAGUGAGAGCUCUGCCUUAUGCACGUAUUGGGCUGUGAAAGCUCAAGUAAGGCUCUUGAUACGCUCAACUUUGCAGCUGGGUCUUGGUUCUCUAUGUGUAAAUAAAGUGAGAAUAUUCUCACUUUGUAAGAGAUUUGUGUAGAUCAUUGUUUAAAAACCUCAUACUCUAAUGCAGCUGCCAAUAGGUAUGUUUGUGAAAAAGAUCAGUACAAAGUUUUUAAUGUAAAGUUAAUGCUUGAGGUUGUAUAUUGAAGAUGAAACAAAACCUUCAACAGCCACUAAACGGAGUUGGGAUCUUGUAAAAGGAAGAGUAUAUGAUGCAGACAGACACUGAUUUAAAGUUGCAAAAGUAACCAUGCUUCUACUGUUUUGAGAUGCUGGAGUUGGUAGCUCUUCUAUACAGUCUUAAGACUGAGUAUUGAGAUACUCAAAUCUGAUCACUUUAUGGAUUUAAAGAGCAGCAAGGAGUCCUGAAGUGACUCUGUUAAAACCACUUGUCCUGAUAGAUGCAUUUGGCCUGCAAAUUUUCAUUUCAGCAAUUUAGUUGAAAUACUGAAGCCAUUAAAUGUGUGCAAUGAAUGAGAACUUAAGCCUAAGAUGAAGUAUUAUACUCAAAUGGGAGAAAAAGUCUAUUUAGGUGAAAGGAUGAAACAAAUGUUAGAAAAAUUACAAUCUAACCUACUUUAUUUCUGGAACUGGAAUUAAGCUUAGUAAGUUUUUCUACUAUGUAAAGGAUCUAAUAUACUAUUUCUACAUUAAUCUUAUAGAAGUCAGUAGACCAGUUUCGAAGAGCUGUCCUACACUGUAUUGUAAAGCUUGUCAUCAACCUGUUCUGCUGGCUGAUCCACUUCUGUAAAUGUUGCAGAUGGUUCAGAUCAUCUCAGCAGUCCACAGAACUAGCAGUAAAUUGUCCAGAACCAAGGUCUCUACAUAUUACCUGUUUUGAUUUCUCUGAGUUGACAGCCUACUCUUAAGAGGAGUUGCUGCUUAGUAGGAGGCUCCCAUGGCACUGGUAACAUAACUUACUGCUAAAGGAUGGGCCUAUAAUCAGAUGUUUUUUCUAGCUUUGCCUGAUUCUACUUUCUUUCCCCAGGUACGUCUGAUAUAUUCAACAAGAGUCUUAUCAUCAUGUUCAGAUAUACUGUUUUAGAGUGAGCAGAGAACUUGCAUGUAAGCUACUGUAAAAAUAAUCUCAUUUCUAGCCAAAAUGUAGUCAUCAUGGCUACUUAAUGACGCUUCAGUAGCUUUUAACAGAAUUCCUGUUAUGUUACUGGGAUGUUAUAUUUUAAUCUUAUACUGAAGCAGAUACGGUGGAUUAAACUGCAUAACUAAAGAUUCUGAAAAAGAUUAUCAAAUAGCUGUUGUGUACUAGUUUCUGGGCUAGUCUAAAGACCUGUAGACUACGAAGGGUGUGUGUGGGGGAAAUUUACCGUAGAGGUUAGUUAAGAUAUCUUAAUCUGUAGCGGUUGUGUACUAGUUUCGGGGCUAGCACUUUGAAAACACAUUUAGAAAGAGAAGUUGAGUGCUGAAAAAACUCUCCACUUAUGAGAGCACGGUAACAUUCUGGAGAUAGUAGUCUAAAGACCUGUAGACUAGGAAGGGGGGGGGGGGGAGGAAAUUUAGUUAAGAUAUCUUAAUCUGUAGUAACUCACUCCUUGCAACCUAUACUGGUAAGAAUCAUGUAAUAUGAUAAGGUGGGCAGUCUAGUAGUAUGAGCGAAGUUUUGUGAACCUCACUUCAGGUUCUUGUUCUGCUACAGCUUCCUUAGUGAUCUUGUCUAAGUUCUGCUGGUUAUUUUAUAUAAAUACCUCAUAAACACCUGUGUACCUAUAUAAAUACAGAAAAAGUUUUUGAUAUGGAUAGAACAUCAUUUAAAGAAAAAAAGAACAAACCAACCUUACCUAGACUAAAUAAUGACAAGUAACUUGAUUACUGAGAGCAGUUGUGUUACACUAAGGUUUUUUCUUGGAAACUAGUCUUCCUGCAGAAAGUCUCAUUGCUAUCCAAGAAGGACCUAAGGACAACUGUGGAAAAUUUCAUCUUAAUCAGAAAGGCAUGAAGUAGCUGAAAAGAUGCUUUUUAUUUAGCCAUCAAAGGGACAGGGUGGUAGACUCCUUCAGUGAAUUAUUAUAGUCACCACAGAGGGACCCAUCUCUCUGUCCUUGUUUAUUAAGGGAAAAAAGCUAGAUCUUUACCUGAGGCAGUCCUGGAUGCAUCUAGCCCAAUCACUAGAAAACUCUCCCUAAAAAUGCAUAAUUUGUGUAUCAGCUUCACACUAAGACAGCUAUAGGUUAAGACUUCUCUAACAUCACUGUUACAGCAACUGGGAAUAAAGUUCAUGGAUUCAUUUUUUAUUUGAGUAGGUGAUGUACACUUAUCACGAAAGACGACUGCAAUAUUUUUUCCAGAAAUUUACAAUAGACAGGAAUGUUCUUGGCAAUAUUGUCUUUAUAGUUCUGUCAGUUUUCUUCCUCUUUAGCUUCUUCUGUGUUCAGAAAAUUACUCUGGCAAGUUCAAACAUGACCUGUGGAAUAACAAAUACUUAAUAUGAAUUUUUAUUUGCUUUAUUAAUUAUUAAUAAUUUAAUAAUUAAAUAUACUGUAAACCAGAUAAUCUGAAAAAUAACUACAGCUGCAACUCAAAAGUUACUUGCAAUAAACUGAACACUAAUCCUUUUGUAAAAUGUGUUACAUGAAUAAGCUAGUCUUGUUCAAAUUAUGAAGUAUAUAAAUUGCACUUGUGUUAUUACAUUCUUCAAUGUGAUAGUGUAAACAAACCAACCUCUAUGGUGAUGAGUAUUACUAUCAUCCACUCGAGGCGCAGAGCAUGCUUUUCAUUCAGGUGAUUUCGCAUUAGGUCUGUCAGCUCCAUGCAGUGCUGAAGCUUUUCAUUCAUUACCUGCAACAGAUUCCAAAUAUAUAGCAAAUCUGGAUUUCAUAAAUUGUAUGAGAUCACUAAAAAAAGGAACUCAACCCAGAAAAGGGUUCACUGAACAUAACGGUUGAAAGAUUAAUUUCUUUCCUCUGCAAAAGAACAGAACAAUGUCCUGUAGGACAACAUGUACAAGUUUUAACACUAAUUAGUCCAUUAUUCCAAUGGGUUCAUGAAAAGAAUUAAUACAAAUUUAGGUAACUAUCUGCAGCUACUAAACAGCUACUGGGUUAUAUAUAAUCAUGAAAAUAGACACAAGCAAAGAUGAUGCAUGUUAUGGGAAUGCCUCAGACAGUAAUUAAAUAUAUAUUUAAGGUUGCCCUAGUACCAGAAAAGGUAGUUUUCAUGCUUCCUGUUCUGUUCUAGCAGCAAGUAUUAUGUUACUUUGCAAUGAACUGAACUGGAUGAUCAUGUCAGUAAAAAGACUACUUCAUAUCUCUCUCUCUCCCCCUCUCUCCCCCUCUCUCCUUCUUUUUAAAACUGUUUUCUUGCACUCAUUCCAGAACAAGAACUAAAGCUCCUCUUCUUAGAGCUGUAUAAAGCCUAAUUUCAUGGCUCAGGAAAGAUGCAAUCAAUUCAUGUAAAUCUAGAUGGUUGAGGCAGGGUAAUUAACCUAAAUCAGGUAAAGGAUGCAAGUUACAGACUCAUAGAAAAGGGUAUAGUUUAUGGGAUCCUAUCAUUGUUUAUUCAGUUUCUACAAUAAAAGCAAACAUUCAUGGAGCAGUCUGCAACCAUGCUAAACCAAAGACAACUGAUUUGAAUGUGGAAAAUUCUCUUAAGACACCUACCUUAACUCUGCGAUUAAUGUUGAGAAACUGGCAGGUCUUGUCAUAAAGCUCUUCUAGUUUCUCUCUAUCCCAGUAGAAGUCAGGUGUUAUAAGCAGGUCUGAACUCAGAUUUAUACGGUGUCUAAAAAGAAUGGUUACAACAGUACAAAGUUCUCUUGAGUGUUUACAGAAGCAAAUAUUUACACAGCAAUUAAGGAAAGUUUUCUGCAAUUUCAGGUAAAUUAUGAAAAACAUCUCUCCUCUUUCAUAGUAAGAGAAUACAGGUUUAGUAAUUAUUAAAAUUGGUCACAUCUGAAACUUUUCUGAGAAUACUGAAAGAUGCAACAGCCUCAUGCAAGAACUUGCUUUUGCCAUAUGGCAACAUUAUCUCUUGUCACCUUCCUUCUUAACUUCUGAUAUCUGUCUUUAUGCUAGCAGUUCACUGAAGCUCAUGAAGUGUGAAUUAAAGUUAAUGGGCAGGUCUGUCACAGCUUGUUUGUUAUUUCAGAACUGUUAAGCAUAACAGAUACUGCAUACGGGGAUAUGUGAACAGAGCGUGCCUUUCAGAACCAAGUCUUUAUUCCUCAACGGUAUAAAAGCCAAGAGCUAGAAUCUCCCUUCAAUCUACUGCUCCAAUAAUCUUUGGGCAUUUAGACUAUCAUUGUACACUACUGACAGGCCCUUCAAGUAGGGAUAUAAAAUUCAAUGUUUAGAAAAGGAAUUGCUUUUUUUCAUCUACUACUUUCUCCACUGAUUUUUAAGAGUCCUUUGUGAAAAAAAUGUAUAAUGCUGUGUAUUCCUGAUGGCCCAGUUUCAUUUGAGAGGGGAAAAAACCCUAUGAAAUUCUUACAAUGUAACAGUAGUUUCUGAGCAAGUCUAGGGAAAGAACAGAAGUCUCAGGAGCAGCCAAAACACUAAAAAAUUUUAUUAACUCUAGGCCAGAGAUAAUGGUUUUAUAUAGCUUUUUGCUUCCUCCUGGUAUUCUUUUGCAUACUGCAGUAUCUACUAUAAUUACAGGUCAUAGGACAUGUACCACUGGACCCAGAGAGGGAGAAGGGUGUGGAAUUUGGCCAUUUACAAUGUGCUUCUUAAUGCCUGUCUGACAGUUGAGAUACUAUAGUGUGAGUGGUGAGCCAGUGGGAAGCGCAGUCUGACUAACAUAGCAGCGCAUGUGGCCUCUGACCCACAGCUGGUCAAAAGAAGCUAUCUGUGACUGUGUGGAGUAAUUUUGUGGCUAUGAAAACCUGCAAGGAAUCUGUGAAAACUAAAACCAUUUAAUGUCUGCACAUAUAGAAGAAGGUAAAGAUUAAACACUGCAGCAGCAAAGACAAUGCAGAAGUAUUCAGCACUGUAACAACGAGCUAUUGCAGAUUUUGGUAGAAGCCUGAGUGUGGGACUGAACUUUAGGGUAAGUACAUCAGGUGGCUGGUUUUGGUAACAUGGCUAGUUUGCUGAAAUCAAUAGUUUUGUUUCAGCUACCAGGGAUCUGGUUAUAUUCCAGAAGUCCUUUUUCACUACAAAAAUCUGUUAAAUGGUUUCAACUGCCUGCAUGUGACCCUGCAAACAGUUAAAUGUGCAAUUUUACUUCAGAAGCAAUCUCAUUGUCAUUUUAUUCCCAAACAUGCUAAAAAUUGAUGCAGAAAGAAAAGGCCUUGUCUCUCUCAAAUCUUUCUCCUCUAGCAUCUAGCUUAAGAUCCCUUAUCCUCGCUCCUUUCUACGUGUUACAAGUCUCCCUUCAUACAAAUCAUUCUGCGGUUAGAAAAAGUUCUGAAUUAAAAACAGCACUCACUGACAGUUUUUUAAAAAGAAGUUAGCUACAAAACAGCCACUAAAACAAAAAUAUACUUUUGGUACCUAAAUUCUUUGAAGAGGUGAAUCUUGUACUUAAAAAAAACUCUCUUCAAAUAAAUAUGGACUACUCAAUCUUUCAGUGCAAAACUCUGUGUUAGUAAAUUGUUCAUGGAGCACUUCCUCCAGCUAUAUACUUUAAAAAUCAGUUGGAUCGCCUGCAAGAGGGAUUUUCUUUGCAGUGCUAGCUUUCUUCAUUGCUGUCAUGAAUUUUGGUGAUACUAUCUAGAUAAGGCAUGAUAACAUUAUUCAUUGUUAAGAGAGGCCUACAAGCUGCAACUGCUUGUUCCAUUAUCCUGAAUUUAAUAGUAGCAUGAUCAAUAUCUGCCAUAUAUUCUAAAUAUUGUGGUAAAAAUAAAAGUAUGAAAAAUUAUUCCAUAUUCCAUUGUUUAAGCAAAGAAAUGUAUGCUGUUUGACCAGUAAGCUUGGCCAACCAGUUAUGCUGUUUCUGGGGACAGUUCAGCAACGCAAACCCUGCUAAAACAAUGCCAGAGUUUAGCCAGUCCAUAAUGCAGCAUGUCAGAUUUCAAGAGUGUAUUCACUUGGAUCCAGAUACCCUAGCUGGCUUUGUAAAGUCAUUAUUAUUAACACACUAAUAACUAUGCUGUUAAUAGGCUAACAGUCCCUUCCAGAACUAUAACCAGCUCAGGCUUUCCAGGGCCAGUAGAGAGUACAAUUUAACACAGCUUCAUAGACCCUAGCUGACUCUGUGCAAUUCAUAUGUCUUGUAAUAUGCAUAUUUCCAAAGUUCUUCCAUCACUCUGGAUAGUGAGAAACUAUAUUUAAAACUGGCAGUUUUCUUUUAUCUAUUCAAAGUAAUGCAAAAGCUUCCACCGAUUGGUGUGAGCUUCUUCUAGGCCCACCCUGAUUUUAUAGAAGGGACUACCUGUGACAUAGUACAUUUAAUGAAAAGAGAUGUUCUGGAUUGACUGAAUGCAAGCUCUUGCUAUUACAGGCAAACACUUUGUACAAUUCCCCUUUAAAAAACAGAUGGAACUGCACCCAGAAGCUAGCCUGGCUUUUUGCCCUUACUACUUCUGCUGGGAAAGCUGCUCCACAAAGUUCCUCCUCAGGUAUUAAGCCAUAUUUUAAGUUUUCAGUUUCUAUUUAUUUGUGAUCAGUCUGUAGUUACUACUUCCUGUGUUAAAUGUCCCUUAAUUUAAAAUUUUUCUUCCAUAAUAAUUGUUCUGGAGUAUUUUUUAAAAGCAGUUAUAUCCAUUCACAUCCAUUCUUUACAUUCAGUUUUAUUGCAUGUAAGUUCACAAAACCAUUUAUCAUAGUCCAGUCUCACUAGUGCCUUCCACAAUGGCAUUAAUACUUUUCUAUCCCUAAUGCCAAUGCCUUGGCUGAUACAGCAUGCAUUACAACUCAUCUUUUUUGUAUCCAAAUUAUGUGCUGCUCAGGGUUAUCCUGUACUGACACCACCAACACAUAUCUUUUCCCAUUUACAAGUUAUGAAGCCCCAAAUUAUAAACAAUAACUUCUGUAAUUAGUCUUGCAGCAGGGCAUUGUGUGUCUGCGUUAUGUGUAUUUCAAUUUUCCAAACUUUGAUUUAUCAUUUUGGUGGUUAAGAGGGAAGGCAGUGGAGAUGGGGCUGUUUGUUUUUGUCACUUCUCACAUGCUUUAAGUGAACUUUUCUCUCACCAAUGAUUUCUGCAUUCUAAAGAACAGUGUAUGGUUUUGGGCUGAUACAUAAAAUCCUGUCUACUUUAAAAAACAUCUAAAUGUAUUUUGGUUUAUAAAAUACAAUUCUAAUAAUCUGAAAUGACAGAAUAAUACCGCAUCCAGGAGCCACCCCCAAUUUUUUUUAAGAAUUGAAAAAAAAUAUUUUUAAAGAUUAACAAAGCCAAUGGGAAAUAUUUUUAGCUUUUCAGGUCAUAUGAAACACUGGAACCAUGUUAUAUAAGUACCAGUAUUUAUAUGAGACUGUGGAUAGAUGACAGCUUCUGGGUCCAGCUCUACCAAUAGAAAAGGUUACCACAACCAGUGGCUGGGUACAACCCUCAUUAAAACAAUUUAUAUUGUUGGUUUGAGAUAACCCAGGUAUUUUUUCUGGAAGAAAACGAAGAAGCACUACAUGUUCUAUCAAUAGAUCACUGUCUCCUCCACGGCAUGUUUGGAUCUGUAAGAGGACAUCAAUUAAUAGCUGUAUUUGUAUUCAUUACAAUCGUCCUACAGUAAAAUCCUGUUCUGUAGAAUAGAAACUGGAGGGGUUUUUUCUUAUUUUAGUUUUGGUCCACUAAAAUUUGUGCAUAAAAAACACUCCCUCUGUUUGAGCAAGCUGUUUUCAAGUUAAAAUUUUGACUAGGAUUUGAAAAAGCAGAAGAAUCCAGCCUUCCUCUAUUUAUGAAUAAAACUAACAAUAGACCAACCAAGGUUACUAGCCCUGACAAGAAGAAUGUGAUGUCAAGUUUUCAAAGGUACUAAAGCAUGUAAAAAGGUACAGCAAAAUGAGGUCUUUCCAAGUAUCCCAGGGGGUAAAGGUGCUCAACUCAAAAAUCAGUGGGGUUAGGCAGCUGGUUUUCUGUAAUACCUGUGAAUCAGUAUUGUUUUAUAGCCAUAGCAGCUUAAGUGUGCUACAGGAAAGGUCUGGAGGGAAAGCUAAUAUUUUUUUGUAGACCAGCUGAUAUAGCAGAGGAGGAAGAAAAAAAAAUAAAAUAAAAAAAGGAAAUCAGGAAAAUUUCAGGUCUGAAGCAGAAGCGACAAACUUAAAUCCAGAAAUUGUUCAUGUGUGGAAACAACUACUCUGUGUUUUAGUAUAUUUUAAUGAAAAUCUUUCUGUGAACCUCUGUGCAUCUCCAUAUCAUCCGUCUAAUCACCAAUUAGUUCCACGUAUCUUGCAUACAGACAAGACUGAUAACUUGUAUUUAUACAUCUGACACUCAGCUUUAUUUAACCAGAGUAAUAAAAAAAUAAAAGUAUUAAUAUAUAAAUAUCUGUAAAUAAUUAUAAAUAUAUUCAUAAAAAUAAAUAUGCCUGUAGCAUAUCCUUUUGGUCAGCAAACCCACCAAAUUAUGAUAAGGGAUAUAUUGAUUCUAUGUCAACAUAUUUUGAUGAUUAUACCAAACUAUAAAAAAGAACGUUCCUUUAGGAAAAUUACUAGAAGAACAAAGCAAUAUAAAAAAACCAAUUGUUCACAAAUUUUGGCUUUUUCAAAGUUAUUAAAGUACAAGUUUUGAGUAGUUUUGACUUAAACGGCUCUGGAAUCAGCAUUUUCUGCUAACUCAUCUUCUGUUACAUAAGUACCUUUCAAACAUCCAUUUUAAACUUUUCAUUUCACAGGUUGAUUUUUCCGAUUUAUUCCUUCAGUAUGUAUAGCUGCAAGGAUUUUCUUUCUAUCAGUCUCACUAGAUCAAGGUUUCAGAUUUUUGGCCUUAAGUAGAAAAUUUCAUCCACUUUGAAUGUGACACACACAUUUGCUCAUUUUGUGCAGAAAGACAAGUUUUAAAGAUGACUUAUCAGCAACCCACACGCUUGAGGACAGCAGCAGGCAAGCAGCUGCACUGAUUAAAAGAAUCAGUCCUUUUCCUUCUGAAGAGAUCCAAGCUCCCAAGCAAAACCCAAGCAUGCAGGGCUUUGUGGACUGACAACACAUCUACUUAUGAAGUAUUAACAAUUUGCUCGACUUACAGUUUUCUCUUCCACAUUCCAAAACACAACAGCCCCUUCCCUG
Long non-coding RNA from Dromaius novaehollandiae (emu), 15501 nucleotides. RefSeq lists it as uncharacterized. Lineage: Eukaryota; Metazoa; Chordata; Aves; Casuariiformes; Dromaiidae. The transcript has 3 exons. The record is from RefSeq and is a predicted model, not a curated record.